This is a long non-coding RNA of Sinocyclocheilus grahami, 78 nucleotides long. RefSeq lists it as uncharacterized. NCBI's taxonomy places the organism in Eukaryota, Metazoa, Chordata, Actinopteri, Cypriniformes, Cyprinidae. The transcript is spliced from 3 exons. The record is from RefSeq and is a predicted model, not a curated record.
AAUAAUAAUUUGUCAUAUUUAAAGGCAAGCUCCACUAUUGUUGUGAAUUGUAGAUUACAGACACAUUCAUUCCUUGAU